GUUGGAUAAAGGUCUCUGUCACGUACCUCCUUUCGGGGAGGCCUUAUAGGGGAGACGUCAUACAACCAGCCUGGACUGAGGUCCGCGCAUCUGCUAGGAUGCUGGCGUAAUGGCUGUAAGCGG
RNAcentral lists this ribosomal RNA (123 nucleotides) under Setophoma terrestris. RNAcentral's name for it is "partial large subunit ribosomal RNA". The record is from RNAcentral. Lineage: Eukaryota; Fungi; Ascomycota; Dothideomycetes; Pleosporales; Phaeosphaeriaceae.